UACGGGGGGGGCAAGCGUUGUUCGGAAUUACUGGGCGUAAAGGGCGCGUAGGCGGUUUGUUAAGUUGGUUGUGAAAACUCUGGGCUUAACCCAGAGCCUGCAUCCAAAACUAGCAAGCUAGAGUUCUGGAGGGGAUAGCGGAAUUCCUGGUGUAGCGGUGAAAUGCGUAGAUAUCAGGAGGAACACCGGUGGCGAAGGCGGCUAUCUGGACAGAAACUGACGCUGAGGCGCGAAAGCUAGGGGAGCAAACAGG
This 253-nucleotide ribosomal RNA is filed under the name uncultured bacterium. Its description in RNAcentral is "partial 16S ribosomal RNA". It matches the Rfam family "Bacterial small subunit ribosomal RNA", at positions 524 to 776 of the family's 1533-position model. The record is from RNAcentral.